AAACAUUAGAGAAGAAGAAGAAGCUUACGUCAUUCGACGCGACACUUUCCACGGUCGGAGCUGAUCCGGAUCACAUACACAGGAGUCACUCAUUGAAGAUGAAUCACAGCUGGACAGGGAUCUUCGAAUAAUUGAGAGACACCAUGGUGUAAAACGAAGGCGGCUCCCUUCGGAUGACAUUUUCCAGAGAACACUGAGAGAUGUUGACCAGGAACUUAGAGGUCAGCUG
Molecule: long non-coding RNA, 229 nt
Organism: Gambusia affinis (western mosquitofish)
Lineage: Eukaryota; Metazoa; Chordata; Actinopteri; Cyprinodontiformes; Poeciliidae
Exons: 3
Source: RefSeq, a predicted model, not a curated record